RNAcentral lists this non-coding RNA (433 nucleotides) under Xenopus tropicalis (tropical clawed frog). RNAcentral describes it as "Xenopus (Silurana) tropicalis (western clawed frog) Eukaryotic large subunit ribosomal RNA". It matches the Rfam family "Eukaryotic large subunit ribosomal RNA", at positions 1456 to 1843 of the family's 3401-position model. Lineage: Eukaryota; Metazoa; Chordata; Amphibia; Anura; Pipidae. The record is from Rfam by way of RNAcentral.
GGUGGUAGAAAAUAUUAAAAAAAGUGCUUUGAAGGCCAAACUGGAGAAGGGUUCCAUGUAAUCUGUAGUUGAACAUGGGUCAGUCAGCCAUAAGAAAUGGGUGAGCUCCAUUUGGAAGGGACGGGUGAUGGUCGCCCGAAAGGGAGUCAGGUUCAGCCCCGAACCCAGAGCAGCAGAGGGGCACCCACGGCCCCCUCACAGCCCCUGGCGGAGGCCUCCAGUGAAGCCCCAGGAAGAGUUCUCUUAAUUUUAUAAAGGGCAGGGCCACCCUGGAUUGGGUUCACCCGAGAGAGGGGUCAGUGCAUUGGAAAGCAUUGUGGUUCUGGCGGCCCCUUAAAUAUAAUGAGACAUUGCAUUUUGAAUAAUGACACAUCCUUAUUAAUCAAUAUUUACCCAGAAAUCCUCAAGGUCACCGCGUUUCAGCACGGUGUCU